CAAUAGCGUAUAUUAAAGUUGUUGCAGUUAAAAAGCUCGUAGUUGGAUUCCUGGUAGGAGUGACCGUGCCAGACUUGAUUGUCUGUGUAUUGUGUUGUCUCCAGCCAUCCUUGUGGAGAACUUUUCUUGCAUUAAUUUGUAGGGAUUGGGACCCGCAUCGUUUACUGUGAAAAAAUUAGAGUGUUUAAAGCAGGCAAUCGCUUGAAUACAUUAGCAUGGAAUAAUAAGAUAGGACUUUGGUACUAUUUUGUUGGUUUGCAUACCAAAUUAAUGAUCAACAGGAACAGUUUGAGGAUAUCCGUAUGAACAUGUCAGAGGUGAAAUUCUUGGAUUUUGAUCAGACGAACUACUGCGAAAGCAUUUAUCAAGGAUGUUUCCAUUAA
This 383-nucleotide ribosomal RNA is filed under the name uncultured eukaryote. RNAcentral describes it as "partial 18S ribosomal RNA". It matches the Rfam family "Eukaryotic small subunit ribosomal RNA", at positions 592 to 976 of the family's 1831-position model. The record is from RNAcentral.